UACCAAGGCAACGAUCAGUAGCCGACCUGAGAGGGCGACCGGCCACAUUGGGACUGAGACACGGCCCAAACUCCUACGGGAGGCAGCAGUGGGGAAUAUUGCACAAUGGGGGAAACCCUGAUGCAGCAACGCCGCGUGAGUGAUGAAGGUUUUCGGAUCGUAAAGCUCUGUCUUCAGGGACGAUAAUGACGGUACCUGAGGAGGAAGCCACGGCUAACUAC
RNAcentral lists this ribosomal RNA (221 nucleotides) under uncultured bacterium. Its description in RNAcentral is "partial 16S ribosomal RNA". It matches the Rfam family "Bacterial small subunit ribosomal RNA", at positions 266 to 504 of the family's 1533-position model. The record is from RNAcentral.